CCUACGGGUGGCUGCAGUGGGGGAUAUUGCACAAUGGGGGGAACCCUGAUGCAGCGACGCCGCGUGUGGGAAGACGGUCCUCUGGAUUGUAAACCACUGUCCCAAGGGACGAAAAUGACGGUACCUGGGGAGGAAGCUCCGGCAAACUACGUGCCAGCAGCCGCGGUAAUACGCAGGGAGCGAGGGUUGUCCGGAAUUACUGGGGGAAAAGGGAGCGUAGGGGGGGAUGCAAGGUGGGUGUCAAAACUACCGGCUCAACUGGUAGUCGCACUCAAAACUGCAGCUCUUGAGUGAAGUAGAGGCGGGCGGAAUUCCUAGUGUAGCGGUGAAAUGCGUAGAUAUUACGAAGAACACCAAUGGCGAAGGCAGCCUACUGGGCUUUUACUGACGCUGAGGCUCGAAAGUGUGGGGAGCAAACAGGAUUAGAUACCCUUGUAGUC
RNAcentral lists this ribosomal RNA (440 nucleotides) under uncultured bacterium. RNAcentral's name for it is "partial 16S ribosomal RNA". It matches the Rfam family "Bacterial small subunit ribosomal RNA", at positions 338 to 795 of the family's 1533-position model. The record is from RNAcentral.